RNAcentral lists this ribosomal RNA (305 nucleotides) under uncultured bacterium. RNAcentral describes it as "bacterial SSU rRNA". It matches the Rfam family "Bacterial small subunit ribosomal RNA", at positions 333 to 635 of the family's 1533-position model. The record is from RNAcentral.
GCCGUCCUACGGGACGCAGCAGUGAGGAAUAUUGGUCAAUGGACGAGAGUCUGAACCAGCCAAGUAGCGUGAAGGAUGACUGCCCUAUGGGUUGUAAACUUCUUUUAUAUGGGAAUAAAACGUUCCACGUGUGGGAUUUUGUAUGUACCAUAUGAAUAAGGAUCGGCUAACUCCGUGCCAGCAGCCGCGGUAAUACGGAGGAUCCGAGCGUUAUCCGGAUUUAUUGGGUUUAAAGGGAGCGUAGGUGGAUUGUUACGUCAGUUGUGAAAGUUUGCGGCUCAACCGUAACAUUGCAGUUGAAACUG